GUGCUUGCUUCGUCAGCACUAAAAAUUGGAACGAUGCAGAGAAGAUUAGCAUGGCCCCUGCGCAAGGAUGACACGUAAAUUCGGGAAGCAUUCCAUAUAUAG
RNAcentral lists this small nuclear RNA (102 nucleotides) under Echinops telfairi (small Madagascar hedgehog). The record is from RNAcentral. Lineage: Eukaryota; Metazoa; Chordata; Mammalia; Afrosoricida; Tenrecidae.